Molecule: ribosomal RNA, 160 nt
Filed under: Pandorina morum
Lineage: Eukaryota; Viridiplantae; Chlorophyta; Chlorophyceae; Chlamydomonadales; Volvocaceae
Description: 5.8S ribosomal RNA
Rfam family: 5.8S ribosomal RNA
About the family: 5.8S ribosomal RNA (5.8S rRNA) is a component of the large subunit of the eukaryotic ribosome. It is transcribed by RNA polymerase I as part of the 45S precursor that also contains 18S and 28S rRNA.
Source: RNAcentral
CAACCUUCAACAACGGAUAUCUUGGCUCUUGGAUCGAUGAAGAACGCAGCGAAAUGCGAUACGUAGUGUGAAUUGCAGAAAUACGUGAAUCAUCGAAUUUUUGAACGCAAAUUGCGCUCGAGGCUUCGGCCAAGAGCAUGUCUGCCUCAGCGUCGGGUUA